RNAcentral lists this ribosomal RNA (814 nucleotides) under Acinetobacter baumannii 1046674. RNAcentral's name for it is "bacterial SSU rRNA". It matches the Rfam family "Bacterial small subunit ribosomal RNA", at positions 8 to 816 of the family's 1533-position model. The record is from RNAcentral. Lineage: Bacteria; Pseudomonadati; Pseudomonadota; Gammaproteobacteria; Moraxellales; Moraxellaceae.
AGAGUUUGAUCAUGGCUCAGAUUGAACGCUGGCGGCAGGCUUAACACAUGCAAGUCGAGCGGGGGAAGGUAGCUUGCUACUGGACCUAGCGGCGGACGGGUGAGUAAUGCUUAGGAAUCUGCCUAUUAGUGGGGGACAACAUCUCGAAAGGGAUGCUAAUACCGCAUACGUCCUACGGGAGAAAGCAGGGGAUCUUCGGACCUUGCGCUAAUAGAUGAGCCUAAGUCGGAUUAGCUAGUUGGUGGGGUAAAGGCCUACCAAGGCGACGAUCUGUAGCGGGUCUGAGAGGAUGAUCCGCCACACUGGGACUGAGACACGGCCCAGACUCCUACGGGAGGCAGCAGUGGGGAAUAUUGGACAAUGGGGGGAACCCUGAUCCAGCCAUGCCGCGUGUGUGAAGAAGGCCUUAUGGUUGUAAAGCACUUUAAGCGAGGAGGAGGCUACUUUAGUUAAUACCUAGAGAUAGUGGACGUUACUCGCAGAAUAAGCACCGGCUAACUCUGUGCCAGCAGCCGCGGUAAUACAGAGGGUGCGAGCGUUAAUCGGAUUUACUGGGCGUAAAGCGUGCGUAGGCGGCUUAUUAAGUCGGAUGUGAAAUCCCCGAGCUUAACUUGGGAAUUGCAUUCGAUACUGGUGAGCUAGAGUAUGGGAGAGGAUGGUAGAAUUCCAGGUGUAGCGGUGAAAUGCGUAGAGAUCUGGAGGAAUACCGAUGGCGAAGGCAGCCAUCUGGCCUAAUACUGACGCUGAGGUACGAAAGCAUGGGGAGCAAACAGGAUUAGAUACCCUGGUAGUCCAUGCCGUAAACGAUGUCUAC